UAAAAAGUCGUAACAAGGUUUCCGUAGGUGAACCUGCGGAAGGAUCAUUAAAGCUUCGCCGACGCUGACCCCGGCCGCCCGGCUUGAGACAUAGCCUGGGCGGCAUUGGCUGGUCGCCGGCAGUUGGCCCAUUCUUGUCUACUGACCCAGUUGCCUCGGCGUGCCGUUCCCUAGUGGACGACCGGAAGCCCUAGGACCUAGUGUCCAUGCGGCCCUGGCCAGCGCACGCCGACGGACAGUCUAAAACUCUUUAUAUAAUGGCCGUCUGAGCGUAUAAAGCAAAUCAAUUAAAACUUUCAACAACGGAUCUCUUGGUUCCGGCAUCGAUGAAGAACGCAGCGAAAUGCGAUAAGUAAUGUGAAUUGCAGAAUUCCGUGAAUCAUCGAAUCUUUGAACGCACAUUGCGCCCCCUGGUAUUCCGGGGGGCAUGCCUGUUCGAGCGUCAUUGCAACCCUCAAGCUCGGCUUGUGUGAUGGGCGAACGUCCUACCCCUAGGGGCGGGACGCGUCCGAAAAGCAGUGGCUAGGCCGCGACUUCGGCGCCUGAGCGAAUGGGACUUCCACCGCUUCUAGGACCGGCCGGCACUUGGCCUUUAAUCAAAGUCCUCACGGACUCUUUAGGUUGACCUCGGAUCAGGUAGGGAUACCCGC
Molecule: ribosomal RNA, 650 nt
Filed under: Arthroderma sp. 07MA15
Lineage: Eukaryota; Fungi; Ascomycota; Eurotiomycetes; Onygenales; Arthrodermataceae
Description: eukaryotic LSU rRNA
Rfam family: 5.8S ribosomal RNA (bases 292-445)
Source: RNAcentral